UAUGUAUGCAUGUAUAGAAGACCAGUAUGCAGUAUUUUACCUGUAAUAUGCCCAACAUGUACUUUAAUUUGAAUUUUCGAAUGCAGUGGAACCACGAGAAAUCUUCGAGUUAUCCGAGUUAUCCGGACAGAAAGACAAAAGUGGGUAUAUUUUAAGACACUGACCAUGAAGUAUAUUUAUCCUUCAGUGCUUAGCAAACAUGGUAGAAUUGACGUUUUAUCCGAUUUAAUAGACAGCACUGACCGGCGACUGUUUCAUUUCUAAACGUAGAUAAGUUCCGCUUGAGCGAGCGGGUAGAUGAAUUGUUGACUAUCGUGUGUACUGUUAUCGGCGACCGCCUUAAAUCUCUAUAAAAACCGCCCAAGGGGGAGGCAGACAAAUCGUCACUAUAGAACGGUUGCUUAAGUUAUAGUAAUUGAAUGACUAGACGAGUGUAUUGCGAGAUAUUUCGGUGGGCGGGAACGAGUAACGCCCACCGAAAUAUCGAGUGUACACGAGUCUAGGACAUUCAAUAAAAUGGCUUGUAUCAUUGCCCGUCCAUCGGCUGUCAUUAAACUUCUAAAAACCAAUCAGAAUUGUCUCGGGUUUCUGAUUGAAUUCCCGCCAAAAACAAUCAACGAUCAAUUAGGAGUACAUUUCCCGCCAAAAACGUUAUCAGUUACAUGUAGUUCAAUGCGCACCCGACUUUGUAAGCGGUAAGCAGCAGGAUGUCAACCCCUUCAGCUAGCUUAAUGGUCAGUUUAAAGUACAGGGAUUUCCUUUCAUUACAAGGGGAUGAUUUUGACGACAUUGUGUUAUCUUAAGCAUUCAAGGAUAUAGAAAACGAAGUGAAAGUUUUUGAUGGGAUUUCCGACAUGUCGCUGACACCUAACGGGAAGGGGAUGCAAAACAUAUUUAGGAAUACACCACAUUACCAGCAAGAACAGACAUUAUUACAACCAAGAAGGUGACCGAUGUAUUCCGGAGUACUUCGAUAUGUACAAUGAUGUUUAUACAGGAGACUUCUCGGAGGAACCCCCAUUUGUUAUGGAAGACAGGUCGUCGGUGUAAACAAACCAAAACAACAUGUGAAAGUGAAAGGAAAUUACACACAAUUUACACUAUUGUACAAAUGCGGCGAACUGGACAACUGUUACACGUUAUGUUAAAUUUGUAAACAGGGAAUCGUAUACAUAAUAUUUGUAACCAAACAUGUUUUUUUCAAGUUUUAAUAACACCUAUGUACUACAGACCCUAUUCGGCAUUGAUACAAAAACAUCCAGAUCGCUGUAAACACUUGCGCUUGACCAGAAAAAAAUCAAACGUUACAAUGUUUAUUUUACUCACCUGUAUGUAAUUGGGUCUUAAAACGACCAACAGCCACAUAAUUAUUUUAAUACAAUGAUUAAUAAAA
Long non-coding RNA from Pecten maximus, 1393 nucleotides. RefSeq lists it as uncharacterized. NCBI's taxonomy places the organism in Eukaryota, Metazoa, Mollusca, Bivalvia, Pectinida, Pectinidae. The transcript has 2 exons. The record is from RefSeq and is a predicted model, not a curated record.